GGACGACGCUGCGGCACUGCCUAAUACAUAGCAAGUCGAGCGAACAGAUGAAGUGCUUGCACUUCUGACGUUAGCGGCGAACGGGUGAGUAACACGUAAGGAAUCUACCUAUAAGCGGGGGAUAACAUUCGAAACGGUGCUAAUACCGCAUAAUAUCUUCUUCCGCAUGGAAGAAGAUUGAAAGACGGCUCUGCUGUCACUUAUAGAUGACCUUGCGGUGCAUUAGUUAGUUGGUGGGGUAACGGCCUACCAAGACGAUGAUGCAUAGCCGACCUGAGAGGGUGAUCGGCCACAUUGGGACUGAGACACGGCCCAAACUCCUACGGGAGGCAGCAGUAGGGAAUCUUCCGCAAUGGGCGAAAGCCUGACGGAGCAAUGCCGCGUGAGUGAAGAAGGCCUUCGGGUCGUAAAACUCUGUUAUAAGAGAAGAACAAAUUGUAGGGUAACUGCUACAGUCUUGACGGUAUCUUAUCAGAAAGCCACGGCUAACUACGUG
This 496-nucleotide ribosomal RNA is filed under the name uncultured Aerococcus sp. Its description in RNAcentral is "bacterial SSU rRNA". It matches the Rfam family "Bacterial small subunit ribosomal RNA", at positions 32 to 507 of the family's 1533-position model. Lineage: Bacteria; Bacillati; Bacillota; Bacilli; Lactobacillales; Aerococcaceae. The record is from RNAcentral.